UCAGCUACUAUACAGUAGGAGAAAUACACGUACAUCAGCUACUAUAUAGUAGGAGAAAUACACGUAUAUCAGCUACUAUAUAGUAGGAGAAAUACACGUAUAUCAGCUACUAUGUAGUAGGAGAAAUACACGUAUAUCAGCUACUAUAUAGUAGGAGAAAUACACGUAUAUCAGCUACUAUAUAGCAGGAGAAAUACACGUAUAUCAGCUACUAUAUAGCAGGAGAAAUACACGUAUAUCAGCUACUAUAUAGCAGGAGAAAUACACGUAUAUCAGCUACUAUAUAGUAGGAGAAAUACACGUACAUCAUCUACUAUAUAGUAGGAGAAAUACACGUACAUCAGCU
Molecule: long non-coding RNA, 346 nt
Organism: Ictalurus punctatus (channel catfish)
Lineage: Eukaryota; Metazoa; Chordata; Actinopteri; Siluriformes; Ictaluridae
Source: Ensembl